Transfer RNA from Cavia porcellus (domestic guinea pig), 64 nucleotides. It matches the Rfam family "tRNA". Rfam says of the family: Transfer RNA (tRNA) molecules are approximately 80 nucleotides in length. Their secondary structure includes four short double-helical elements and three loops (D, anti-codon, and T loops). NCBI's taxonomy places the organism in Eukaryota, Metazoa, Chordata, Mammalia, Rodentia, Caviidae. The record is from Rfam.
GGGGAUUUAGCUCAGUGGCAAAAGCGCCUGCUUUCUAAGCAGGCAGUCAUGAGUUCGAUCCCCA